GCCGGAGUGGUGGAAUUGGUAGACACGUCACCUUGAGGGGGUGGUGGGAUAACUCCUGUGCUGGUUCGAGUCCAGUCUCCGGUACCA
RNAcentral lists this transfer RNA (87 nucleotides) under Mariprofundaceae bacterium. Its description in RNAcentral is "tRNA-Leu". It matches the Rfam family "tRNA". From Rfam's summary of the family: Transfer RNA (tRNA) molecules are approximately 80 nucleotides in length. Their secondary structure includes four short double-helical elements and three loops (D, anti-codon, and T loops). The record is from RNAcentral. Lineage: Bacteria; Pseudomonadati; Pseudomonadota; Candidatius Mariprofundia; Mariprofundales; Mariprofundaceae.